GGCCUUCUGCUCUGCGGGGCAUUGACGAAGCUGAUCGGCGAUCGGCUGGCGUCCGCGCGGGCGCUUCGCCCGUUCGCUCUGGGGAAGGCCA
RNAcentral lists this transfer RNA (91 nucleotides) under Paenibacillus dendritiformis. Its description in RNAcentral is "tRNA-Ala". Lineage: Bacteria; Bacillati; Bacillota; Bacilli; Caryophanales; Paenibacillaceae. The record is from RNAcentral.